UAGGGAAUCUUCGGCAAUGGGGGCAACCCUGACCGAGCAACGCCGCGUGAGUGAAGAAGGUUUUCGGAUCGUAAAGCUCUGUUGUAAGUCAAGAACGGGUGUGAGAGUGGAAAGUUCACACUGUGACGGUAGCUUACCAGAAAGGGACGGCUAACUACGUGCCAGCAGCCGCGGUAAUACGUAGGUCCCGAGCGUUGUCCGAUUUAUUGGGCGUAAAGCGAGCGCAGGCGGUUUGAUAAGUCUGAAGUUAAAGGCUGUGGCUCAACCAUAGUUCGCUUUGGAAACUGUCAAACUUGAGUGCAGAAGGGGA
This 310-nucleotide ribosomal RNA is filed under the name uncultured bacterium. RNAcentral describes it as "partial 16S ribosomal RNA". It matches the Rfam family "Bacterial small subunit ribosomal RNA", at positions 355 to 658 of the family's 1533-position model. The record is from RNAcentral.